This 466-nucleotide ribosomal RNA is filed under the name uncultured bacterium. RNAcentral's name for it is "bacterial SSU rRNA". It matches the Rfam family "Bacterial small subunit ribosomal RNA", at positions 338 to 795 of the family's 1533-position model. The record is from RNAcentral.
CCUACGGGUUGCAGCAGUAGGGAAUCUUCCGCAAUGGACGAAAGUCUGACGGAGCAACGCCGCGUGAGUGAUGAAGGCUUUCGGGUCGUAAAACUCUGUUGUUAGGGAAGAACAAGUGCUAGUUGAAUAAGCUGGCACCUUGACGGUACCUAACCAGAAAGCCACGGCUAACUACGUGCCAGCAGCCGCGGUAAUACGUAGGUGGCAAGCGUUAUCCGGAAUUAUUGGGCGUAAAGCGCGCGCAGGUGGUUUCUUAAGUCUGAUGUGAAAGCCCACGGCUCAACCGUGGAGGGUCAUUGGAAACUGGGAGACUUGAGUGCAGAAGAGGAAAGUGGAAUUCCAUGUGUAGCGGUGAAAUGCGUAGAGAUAUGGAGGAACACCAGUGGCGAAGGCGACUUUCUGGUCUGUAACUGACACUGAGGCGCGAAAGCGUGGGGAGCAAACAGGAUUAGAUACCCUAGUAGUC